GCAAAGGUGGCGGUGACAGGUGCGUGAUCUGACCAUGUCCGUAUAGGGCUACGGACAUGGUCAGAUCACGCACCUGUCACCGCCACCUUUGC
Molecule: non-coding RNA, 92 nt
Organism: Pelobates cultripes (western spadefoot toad)
Lineage: Eukaryota; Metazoa; Chordata; Amphibia; Anura; Pelobatidae
Source: the annotation of a GenBank genome assembly